RNAcentral lists this long non-coding RNA (459 nucleotides) under Elaeis guineensis (African oil palm). RNAcentral's name for it is "long non-coding RNA (EGUI_LNC026018)". Lineage: Eukaryota; Viridiplantae; Streptophyta; Magnoliopsida; Arecales; Arecaceae. The record is from RNAcentral.
GGGUAUCCACCAUGAUCAAUCUUAAAUCUUUCUUCUUGUUGUAGAUUCAUCUUCUUCAAGAUGAAACCCAACCUUUUGGAUCCUUGAUUAAUAGUUGAUAUUCCUUUACGAUCUCAACACUUGAAUCGCAGUCUUUUUCCUUUUUCUUGACGUAAAUGGGAUUACCCAACCACCUUGGGCAUGUGGAGAUGUGGGAUGCCCAACCUUUGGGUGUUGGAUAGAGAGGAGAAGGAGAGGAGGGCAUGGAGAUAUGGAGAGGCUCUAGAUCUGAAUUCUUAAUACAGUCCAAAAUCCUAAGGGAGCGCCUCUUAAAUAAAUUUCUUAUUGGAGUCCAAAUCAAACUCCAAUCAAGGUUAAGAGGCAAGUCCUUAUCACAUAAGGACUCUUUCCUCCCUUUGCUGAUUUUCUUCCAAAGAAAACCAACCCAAAAGGAAAGGGAUCAUGCCCAAAUAGGAAAGC